AACUUAGACAGAGAUCAACAAAGAAAAGUGUUUCAUUACAAGAGAAAAGAGAUUCUCAGACAAAAAUAGAAAUUCAUGACACCAUUCCUGUAGGUGGAAGACUAACAUUUUUAGGCACGGGGGCAGCAAACUACCUCAGACUGAUGGGUUCUUUCAGUGAUGAUAAAUGGGUACCAAUUAGAACUAUCAGGUAUCCCAAGAAGAAACUUAUGUUCAACAGUUCACUCAGCUACAGCAGAAAAUGCUCAUAGAAAGCAUUCCAGGGAAAGAAAAGUUCCAGGGCACCUAUUCAAUAAAAUUUUUG
Non-coding RNA from Pelobates cultripes (western spadefoot toad), 304 nucleotides. Lineage: Eukaryota; Metazoa; Chordata; Amphibia; Anura; Pelobatidae. The record is from the annotation of a GenBank genome assembly.